Molecule: long non-coding RNA, 1900 nt
Filed under: Macaca mulatta (Rhesus monkey)
Lineage: Eukaryota; Metazoa; Chordata; Mammalia; Primates; Cercopithecidae
Description: lncRNA (ENSMMUG00000051238.1)
Source: RNAcentral
UCCCCCAGAAGGGACUGAAGCAGAAACUGUGCCAAGCCAGGCAGAAUUGGGUGGGGAUAGGAGUAAGGUAAGCCCAGUUUCAUGACACGGGUAGUUAAAAUGCAGUUUAUUUACAAUUAUUCAGAAGAUAUUUCAAGUUUCUUGAUAUUGUAGUGUUCUUGUUUCUCUCUCAUUCUGCUACGUGGAAUUUAAUCAUGAUUGGAACCAUCAGCAGGGAGAAGCUGGUCUGGUGGAGAUAAGGGAAAAGUAGCUGACGUUGAGUAUUUUGAUCUUUAUGGGCACAACUGAGAGAUGCUUUGGAGAGGAAGGUUAAGAAGAAAUUACUAAAGUUUAGAUUCUGUCAUGAGUUUCAAUUACCUGGUUAUGAUGACGAAUCCAUGUUCUACCGAUCUCCUAUUAUUUGCAAAACUGAGAUCUUUGUGUGAGAGUGAUGUGUUCCAACUGGGGCAUCACGUCUGGAUCGCAUAGGCAGGUUUCAAUGGCCAGAAAUCCUUUUCUGGCAAUAAAAGGAGGCAGUGGAGUCCUCAUUAGUGGGUUUGUUCUGCUUGAUAUCUGACUGCAAUUCUUGCAUGUUCUCUAUCCCAUUUUCUACAGAAACAAGUCUGAUCCCUUAAAAGGACAUGUAAUAGAAAAUACUGCUUCUUUUAUUUGAAAUCUAUAUUUAGAAACAAAUUAUAGCUCCUUACGCUGUGGUUUAGCCGAGUGGCUAUUUUGGGGUCAUAAGAAUCCCCCAAAGCUAGCUGACAGCUAAUGUGGGUUGGGUGUUUUAGAUUGGUCCCCAGGGUGCACACAGGUAAACUGAGCAACAUACCUUGAGUCCUCAGCUAUUUGGGUUGGAGGUCAGGCUGUGGACCCCCUCCCCUAGGAAUCUUUACUACUGCAGAGUAGGAGAGAGUGAACUCUUAGUGGCUUCCCUACAGAACAGCUGAUACUCCACAGACAGUUGGAGGGAAAGGGCAGUACCAAAUCCCCCUUACUGCCCCAGAAGAGUUUGGAUUGUUCCCUGGAGGAAGAAAAAGUCACCGCUGGCACAGCUGAAGGUGGGAUUCUAUUCUACAGAGCAGACGGAAAAGUCAGCAGGGGGCGACUCCAGGGACUCCUUUGCUACUUGCUAAGAAGCAGAGAACAGAAUAAGAGCAAAGCCUUAGGGAGGCCUAAGCUAACACCCAGUGGAGGAAAGGAGAGGCAAUCAGUGAUUAGAAACAAAGUGUGCAUCGUGCACUAAGUCCUGGCUUCACAUCAAACUCUCACCACUUCUUCAGCAAAAGCAAACUUCAGGAUACUAAUAAGAAUGGGCAUGACUAACCAAGGUAAUUUCUUCCUGAAUUAAUCUUAAACUCUUUAAGAGUCAUCAAGGUUUUAUUUCUUUGGCUCCAGAUUGAACUGUUGAAUUUUGCAAAAAGCAUUAAAAGUUACACAAGGGGGAUUCAAUUAAAACAAAAGAUACAACUACCCUUAAGACCUCAUUGAAGAGAGUUGGAGAAAAAUGUAUCUUUUAGGCUCUAAACAUCAAAAGAUACAAUUUAUACAUAUGUAGCUUUUGUUUAAAAGCUUUUGUGUGUAUAUAUAUAUAUGUAUCUUUUUAAAAGAAAUCUUCGGGCUUAGAAAACUCACCUUUCAACUUGUAUUGGAAAUAUUUGGGUUUGAUCCUCCUAUGGAAUUGUAGAGUAUAAUUCAUAGAGUAACUUAUAAAAACAUUAAUUUGACAGGUACUCAUGGCAAACACUUUGGGCAAAUGGUAUAUUAGAUUAGAAUUUGUGUUUCGCUGAAUUAUAAAAGUAAGUUGAAGAACCAAAUCAAAACAAAGUGGUUUUUAUUUCAUUUAAAUCUGCUCUGUGAUAUUCCAGGCCAUCUGUCAAUUUCCCUGGCUCAACUUUCCAGCUCUUGUUUCUUGUACACU